AUUCUGCCUAUGCGGGGAAGGAUGAGAAGCUUCGACAAAGGUUCGAUUCGAGCGUAGCGAGAAAGCGUUGCCGCAGGCAACGACCCGAAGGGCGAGGCGCAACGCGCCGAGUAAUCCUUCCCCCACCACCA
This 131-nucleotide small RNA is filed under the name Vibrio parahaemolyticus. RNAcentral describes it as "RtT RNA". It matches the Rfam family "RtT RNA". From Rfam's summary of the family: This family represents a bacterial cis-regulatory element known as RtT RNA. The exact function of RtT is unknown although it is thought that it may be involved in changing the cellular response in relation to amino acid starvation. RNAcentral also lists the same sequence under 6 other names. The record is from RNAcentral. Lineage: Bacteria; Pseudomonadati; Pseudomonadota; Gammaproteobacteria; Vibrionales; Vibrionaceae.